AGCGAACGCUGGCGGCAGGCCUAACACAUGCAAGUCGAACGAACUCUUCGGAGUUAGUGGCGGACGGGUGAGUAACACGUGGGAACGUGCCUUUUGGUUCGGAAUAACUCAGGGAAACUUGUGCUAAUACCGAAUGUGCCCUUCGGGGGAAAGAUUUAUCGCCAUUAGAGCGGCCCGCGUCUGAUUAGCUAGUUGGUGAGGUAACGGCUCACCAAGGCGACGAUCAGUAGCUGGUCUGAGAGGAUGACCAGCCACACUGGGACUGAGACACGGCCCAGACUCCUACGGGAGGCAGCAGUGGGGAAUCUUGCGCAAUGGGCGAAAGCCUGACGCAGCCAUGCCGCGUGAAUGAUGAAGGUCUUAGGAUUGUAAAAUUCUUUCACCGGGGACGAUAAUGACGGUACCCGGAGAAGAAGCCCCGGCUACUUCGUG
RNAcentral lists this ribosomal RNA (432 nucleotides) under uncultured bacterium. Its description in RNAcentral is "partial 16S ribosomal RNA". It matches the Rfam family "Bacterial small subunit ribosomal RNA", at positions 29 to 507 of the family's 1533-position model. The record is from RNAcentral.